Molecule: transfer RNA, 86 nt
Filed under: Canibacter oris
Lineage: Bacteria; Bacillati; Actinomycetota; Actinomycetes; Micrococcales; Microbacteriaceae
Also listed under: 3 other names
Description: tRNA-Ser
Rfam family: tRNA
About the family: Transfer RNA (tRNA) molecules are approximately 80 nucleotides in length.
Source: RNAcentral
GGAAGGUUGUCCGAGCGGCCGAAGGAACUGGUCUUGAAAACCAGCAGGCGAAAGCCUCAAGGGUUCGAAUCCCUUACCUUCCGCCA